GUGCUUGUUUCAGCAGCACGUGUACUAAAAUUGGAACAACACGGAGAAGAUUAGCGUGGCCCUGUGCUAGGGUGACAGGCACAUUCAUGCAGUGUUCUGUGUUUUA
Small nuclear RNA from Hippopotamus amphibius kiboko, 106 nucleotides. The record is from RefSeq and is a predicted model, not a curated record. NCBI's taxonomy places the organism in Eukaryota, Metazoa, Chordata, Mammalia, Artiodactyla, Hippopotamidae.